CCAAACUGUUGCCUCGGCGGGGUCACGCCCCGGGUGCGUCGCAGCCCCGGAACCAGGCGCCCGCCGGAGGGACCAACCAAACUCUUUUCUGUAGUCCCCUCGCGGACGUUAUUUCUUACAGCUCUGAGCAAAAAUUCAAAAUGAAUCAAAACUUUCAACAACGGAUCUCUUGGUUCUGGCAUCGAUGAAGAACGCAGCGAAAUGCGAUAAGUAAUGUGAAUUGCAGAAUUCAGUGAAUCAUCGAAUCUUUGAACGCACAUUGCGCCCGCCAGUAUUCUGGCGGGCAUGCCUGUCCGAGCGUCAUUUCAACCCUCGAACCCCUCCGGGGGGUCGGCGUUGGGGACCUCGGGAGCCCCUAAGACGGGAUCCCGGCCCCGAAAUACAGUGGCGGUCUCGCCGCAGCCUCUCCUGCGCAGUAGUUUGCACAACUCGCACCGGGAGCGCGGCGCGUCCACGUCCGUAAAACACCCAACUUCUGAAAUGUUGACCUCGGAUCAGGUAGGAAUACCCGCUGAACUUAAGCAUAUCAAAAGCCCGGAGGAAA
RNAcentral lists this ribosomal RNA (544 nucleotides) under Trichoderma atroviride. RNAcentral describes it as "eukaryotic LSU rRNA". The stretch from base 150 to 303 matches the Rfam family "5.8S ribosomal RNA". The record is from RNAcentral. Lineage: Eukaryota; Fungi; Ascomycota; Sordariomycetes; Hypocreales; Hypocreaceae.